RNAcentral lists this unclassified non-coding RNA (348 nucleotides) under soil metagenome. RNAcentral's name for it is "partial contains 5.8S ribosomal RNA, internal transcribed spacer 2, and large subunit ribosomal RNA". The stretch from base 1 to 120 matches the Rfam family "5.8S ribosomal RNA", at positions 35 to 154 of the family's 154-position model. The record is from RNAcentral.
GAUGAAGAACGUAGUGAAAUGCGAUAAGUAGUGUGAAUUGCAGAAUUCAGUGAAUCAUCGAAUCUUUGAACGCACAUUGCGCCCUCUGGUAUUCCGGAGGGCAUGCCUGUUCGAGCGUCAUUAAAACUACUCAAGCUAAGGUUUUACCUUCUGCUUGGUCUUGGGUUUGAGGAUUCAAAAUCCUCUCUCCGAAAUCCAGUGGCGAAUUGUUUGAGCUGUAGACGUAGUAAAUCAUUCUACCCGUUGCAAGCGAGAAUAAUAUUCAGCCAUAACCCCCAUACUUUUCUAGUUUGACCUCGGAUCAGGUAGGGAUACCCGCUGAACUUAAGCAUAUCAAUAAGCGGAGGA